CACGCGUAGCUGCGUACGCUUAGCGUUCGUGACAUCUUAUCAUUGGAGCUGAAUUUUUAGUUGCUCAGCGAAAACCGCCAAGAAGCCUACAAGUAUGCUAACAUUUUCAUGAACUCUAGCUGGACAGCUGCCACGAGAGAUCGGUGUUAAACUGUUAAUGUAGUAUUUGAGGAGAAGAAAACGAUUGACAGCAUCCUCCUUCCUGCUUGCUAAAGAACGCUAAAGAAGUUUCACCGUUCCUUCAUUCUUCAGAGAUGGAAGAGUUCGAUCAGACCAUGUGUGUACAAAAGCAUUUUAAACUGCGUGCAGUGCAUAUACGUCGGAAGUUCGGAAGUCAGGAACUCACGUGCACAUGGUCGUGUUACCGCCUGUUAGUUCCACUGCUCCCGCGUGAAGUGAGCCCUUACCACACUCUCUAGUCUAGCCUGAUCUAAAAUGACUCUAAGUGAGUCAUCAGGAAGCGUAUGGAAUUCCAGCAUUUAGCCAAAGUCAUUAAUAAUGCCGAGUAAUUGCGCAAUCGCAUUUUCCUUCUGACAGCUAUUGUGGUCAGAAAAUGUACUGAAGUAUACUAAUGCUGAGGAACUGCGCAGUUGCCUUGACCUUCCCAGCUAUUGUGGUCAGAAUAUAUGCAUUAGAAAAACCUAUUCUUUCAUCUAUUUUCGUUCAUCAACCCAAGAAAAAAUGAGCGGUGAAUUAAGAAGGAGGUUACUGAGAUUUAAGUGAUUGAUUUAUGGCGCAAUCCUCCUCUGGGAUUUUGGGUUCUCUAGCAACUUGUUUAUCAAAAAAAAGAAAAGAAAAGAAAAGAAUUAUUGACGUUCUUCUCAAAUCUUUGGAGAAAAACAACUGAAAAUUUCUUAGAAGUAAACGCAAAGUUGUUGUUACUUUAUCAAUUCACGACUUUUGCCCUUUCAUUUUAUUAAGAAUGGGUGAAGAUGUAGCGCGCACUUGGAUUUUUUUAUUCUCUAGCUUUCAAACAUCACGUGAUUAUCACGCAACUAUUUCAUUUUGUACACCCAGUUUACACCUGUCAAAUUAUUUCUCAGCGUGGCUUGAUGACCCGAACAUAACCUUUCUUUUUUCGUGUGCCUAUUUUAUUGUUUGUUUUUUCAAAUUUACACCUAAAGUAGGAGAGUGUCUUCAAGAGAAACUAGCAUUAUACGCUCCUGAUCACUUGAAUGAACGAAUAACUUUAUU
Long non-coding RNA from Pocillopora verrucosa, 1194 nucleotides. RefSeq lists it as uncharacterized. Lineage: Eukaryota; Metazoa; Cnidaria; Anthozoa; Scleractinia; Pocilloporidae. The record is from RefSeq and is a predicted model, not a curated record.